GAUCCUGGCUCAGGAUGAACGCUGGCGGCGUGCCUAACACAUGCAAGUCGAACGAGGUUAUUUUUGAUUGAAGUUUUUCGGACAGAUUUCAAGAUACCGAGUGGCGGACGGGUGAGUAACGCGUGGGUAACCUGCCUCAUACAGGGGGAUAACGGUUAGAAAUGACUGCUAAUACCGCAUAAGCGCACAGUACCGCAUGGUACGGUGUGAAAACUACCGGUGGUAUGAGAUGGACCCGGCCGUCUGAUUAG
This 251-nucleotide ribosomal RNA is filed under the name uncultured bacterium. RNAcentral's name for it is "partial 16S ribosomal RNA". It matches the Rfam family "Bacterial small subunit ribosomal RNA", at positions 15 to 244 of the family's 1533-position model. The record is from RNAcentral.